GGAUUUGGGAAAUCCUUGCUUCCCAUCUGCAUGGCUAAAACGCACCUGUCGCUUUCCCAUGACCCGGAACUGAAAGGAGUGCCCACGGGUUUCAUCCUGCCCAUCAGAGACAUCCGAGCCAGCGUGGGUGCGGGAUUCUUGUAUCCGCUGGUGGGAACAAUGAGCACAAUUCCGGGACUUCCUACUAGGCCUUGCUUCUAUGACAUCGACCUGAACCCUGUGACUGGAGAGGUGAACGGCCUGUUCUAAAACGAAUUGACCGUCCAGAUAACGUCAGUUCAACAAGGCCCGAACAAGUUAAUCAGCACGGCAAGAUCUGAACACUGGAAACUAAAAGUCUUUUGGGAAACUAUCUUCCUGCAUAUUUUUUUUUUAAAAAACCUGCAAUACUGCAGUUUUAAUGAGUGAUUUACUUUUUCACUCCCUACAGCUGGAAGUCUGUACAACCUUCUUUUUAAAUACGGAUAACUUUUUUAAAACAUUGGCCUGUAAGAUGGCUGGCAGUAGUCAGUAGACACCUUCUUGUCUCUGAUAAAGGCUGAGGGUUUGGGGUUGUUGUUUUUUUAAUCUUCUCGGUGGCCUGUGAUCUAGUUACAGUGGACCUGUUACAUUCCUUUGGAAAGAAGGCUAGCAAUUCUGCCCGUAUUCCAAGCUCCUCGCAGACAUGAAAUCUAGAGUUAGUUUGGCUGACCAGCCCACUAACGUAAGCCUGUGAAAGCAGCCCAUCAAAAAGUUUGGAAGUCUUCUGUAUUUUCUCCCUGCGCAUCUCAUGGGGCCGCACCAUGUUACUGGUGGCUCUGAAUUGAGCUCAGUGUUUUAUGGGUCAUCUUUGCCGUUCCUUGAAUGUGUCUUUUAGGCAGCUGGGCACUUGUCUCUGGUGACGGCACCCCAUAAUGUCAGGGCAGAGCUGUGCAUCACCCCGUACGCUGCUCCCUUAAACAGCUAUCUCAAGGCUCAUGGCUUUUGAACACAAGUACGCAAAGACUCUCACUGCGUGAGGAGACUGGAUCUUCCAGGUGGCAACGGGCAUUUGGUAACAGUGUCUUAAAAUACACACCCCAUCCCUUCCCCCCCUUUUUUUGCAAUGCUAAAAAUCCAUAUUGCUUUCCGAACAAACGCUGUACCUGGCUUGUAGUCCAUGCACGCUGCAGCCAAAGGGGACAGAUAAUCUUGCAAUAAUCUUGUUGCCAGCCACUGCAGAGUUCCAAGAUUCUGGCCUCGCCCCGGCACGGUUGGUUGCUUUUAAAUACAGUUUUCGCUAGGGAUGCUCAAGGCGCCUUUUCCGAACUGCUGUAGACUUAACUUUGGGUUGCUUCCACGAUUGCUGUUGUUGCAGAAAUGCGAAACUGAGUUUUGGUCCUUUUCAGACACACAUUCCAAACCGGGUGGGUGCUCAAAGCCCAUGUUAAAGCCCUGACCAUAGCAACUACAGGCAUCUGUUCGAAGGCGGUGUCCCAGGAUAGCCACUGGGUGUAUCUUCACCCAGAGGACACCCGUUUGCCCUAGAAUACCCUUUGUUUUUUUCAGAGUGGCUCUCCUGCAACCAGUUGAGAAUACAAGGACCUAGCAUAGGAAUCUCUACACUUAAGACUUCGGUUGACGCCUGCCCUUGAGACUUAUUUGCUAGUAUUUAGAUGGCAUCAGUUGAGUGGAGAAAAUAAACAAGACAGAGUGGAACACUUUGCCAUGACCAUUGUUCUGUAGACUGUCCGGGGCUGGGAAUGUCAGGGUGGAAUUGCUCCUGGAAAGCCCAGAUCCGCAGUCGCCUUUGCUGUUCACACCAAAAUCACGCACAGAAAUUUAAAGUGCCAGCCUGAUUGUUUUUUUAAAAAAUCGAUAAGAUGCCUCGUUGAGAAGAGACUGGAUCUCCCACAACGGCAACUCAACGAAAAGAAUGCGUCCUCUGGUUGUCCUUUAACAAAUCCCGAGCCAGAUUUUUAAAUUUUUCUGCAGGGUUUUUAAAGCUUUCCCUUUUGGAUGAACCAAAAGUGCAAAAUUCUGUUUUUAAUCCGAGCUGUUGCCUGCCUGUCUUCUGCACACAGCACCAAAACAUACCGUAUGGGUUUUUUUUUCCCUAAUAUGAACAUGUAACUGCUGCCAGACUUGUAAUUAGCGCGAAUAAACCUCUACAUCCUUGGA
This is a long non-coding RNA of Sphaerodactylus townsendi, 2139 nucleotides long. RefSeq lists it as uncharacterized. The record is from RefSeq and is a predicted model, not a curated record. The transcript is spliced from 3 exons. NCBI's taxonomy places the organism in Eukaryota, Metazoa, Chordata, Lepidosauria, Squamata, Sphaerodactylidae.